Molecule: ribosomal RNA, 406 nt
Filed under: uncultured bacterium
Lineage: Bacteria
Description: partial 16S ribosomal RNA
Rfam family: Bacterial small subunit ribosomal RNA
Source: RNAcentral
AUUGAACGCUGGCGGCAGGCCUAACACAUGCAAGUCGAGCGAGCGGCGGACGGGUGAGUAAUGUAUGGGAAACUGCCUGAUGGCGGGGGAUAACUACUGGAAACGGUAGCUAAUACCGCAUACCAUCAGAUGUGCCCAGAUGGGAUUAGGUAGUAGGUGGGGUAACGGCUCACCUAGGCGACGAUCCCUAGCUGGUCUGAGAGGAUGACCGGCCACACUCGAACUGAGACACGGUCCAGACUCCUGCCGGAGGUAGCAGUGGGGAAUAUUGCUCAAUGGGCGAAAGCCUGAUGCGGCCAUGCCGCGUGGGUGAAGAAGGCUUUAUGGUUGUAAAGCACUUUGAGCGAGGAGGCGUUACUCGCAGAAUAAGCACCGGCUAACUCUGUGCCAGCAGCCGCGGUAAUUC